UGGCAGUGAUUAGAUCCUACCUGCGCUUCUGAUUAACCCGUGAAGCAAAAGGGAAAAAUUAAUGGUUGAAUUUCUUAAUAUGAGCUA
Non-coding RNA from Brachypodium distachyon (stiff brome), 87 nucleotides. Lineage: Eukaryota; Viridiplantae; Streptophyta; Magnoliopsida; Poales; Poaceae. The record is from Rfam.